GCUAAACGCGAAGAACCUUACCUACUCUUGACAUCCAGAGAACUUGGCAGAGAUGCUUUGGUGCCUUCGGGAACUCUGAGACAGGUGCUGCAUGGCUGUCGUCAGCUCGUGUUGUGAAACGUUGGGUUAAGUCCCGCAACGAGCGCAACCCUUAUCCUUUGUUGCCAGCGGUUAGGCCGGGAACUCAAAGGAGACUGCCAGUGAUAAACUGGAGGAAGGUGGGGAUGACGUCAAGUCAUCAUGGCCCUUACGAGUAGGGCUACACACGUGCUACAAUGGCGCAUACAAAGAGAAGCGACCUCGCGAGAGCAAGCGGACCUCAUAAAGUGCGUCGUAGUCCGGAUUGGAGUCUGCAACUCGACUCCAUGAAGUCGGAAUCGCUAGUAAUCGUGGAUCAGAAUGCCACGGUGAAUACGUUCCCGGGUCUUGUACACACCG
This 438-nucleotide ribosomal RNA is filed under the name uncultured bacterium. RNAcentral's name for it is "bacterial SSU rRNA". It matches the Rfam family "Bacterial small subunit ribosomal RNA", at positions 954 to 1392 of the family's 1533-position model. The record is from RNAcentral.